This 497-nucleotide ribosomal RNA is filed under the name uncultured bacterium. Its description in RNAcentral is "partial 16S ribosomal RNA". It matches the Rfam family "Bacterial small subunit ribosomal RNA", at positions 28 to 507 of the family's 1533-position model. The record is from RNAcentral.
GAUGAACGCUGGCGGCGUGCCUAAUACAUGCAAGUCGAGCGAACAGACGAGGAGCUUGCUCCUCUGACGUUAGCGGCGGACGGGUGAGUAACACGUGGAUAACCUACCUAUAAGACUGGGAUAACUUCGGGAAACCGGAGCUAAUACCGGAUAAUAUAUUGAACCGCAUGGUUCAAUAGUGAAAGACGGAUUUGCUGUAACUUAUAGAUGAAUCCGCGCCGCAUUAGCUAGUUGGUAAGGUAACGGCUUACCAAGGCAACGAUGCUAAGCCGACCUGAGAGGGUGAUCGGCCACACUGGAACUGAGACACGGUCCAGACUCCUACGGGAGGCAGCAGUAGGGAAUCUUCCGCAAUGGGCGAAAGCCUGACGGAGCAACGCCGCGUGAGUGAUGAAGGUCUUCGGAUCGUAAAACUCUGUUAUUAGGGAAGAACAAAUGUGUAAGUAACUAUGCACGUCUUGACGGUACCUAAUCAGAAAGCCACGGCUAACUACGUG